AUUUAUAUAAUUUAAAAAAAAUAUUACAUUUUCAUUGUAAACUUAAGAAAAUACCUUUAUAAAUU
Molecule: transfer RNA, 65 nt
Filed under: Blasticotoma sp. 'tegularis'
Lineage: Eukaryota; Metazoa; Arthropoda; Insecta; Hymenoptera; Blasticotomidae
Description: tRNA-Glu
Source: RNAcentral